AUUGGGCCUUUAGUUUAUGGACCUUUAGGUUAUUGGCUAUGUAUAUAUAGCCUACUUUUGUUUAGUUAGUUUUAGGCUUUUCAGAUUAUAUUGUAAACCUUAGCCUUUCUUCCUGUUAAUAAAGUUCUAUUAACAUGGUAUCAAAGCUAGUUCGAUCCAUGUCCUUUGAUUUGUUGGUUGAAGAUUUUGUAGCAGGCACCU
This 201-nucleotide long non-coding RNA is filed under the name Capsicum annuum. RNAcentral describes it as "long non-coding RNA (CANN_LNC021957)". The record is from RNAcentral. Lineage: Eukaryota; Viridiplantae; Streptophyta; Magnoliopsida; Solanales; Solanaceae.